AGAACUUGUCAGUGCCUUUAAUAGGAGGGAUGAGUCUCCAGGAGAGUUUGUUGUCAGGAUUUAACACUUAUUCUUGGAAAAGCAGUGAUUUGUGCUGGAAAUGAACUGGGCAGACCCUGCUCCUAUCUCCAUCUGCUCCAAUCUCAGUGCCCUCCACUCCCCUUCAGCAGCGCCUGUAAUAAAGUCACUGCACAACACCUACAAAUGGAGGAGUGGAGGAGCAUCACUUUCCAUCCCAGGAUCAUGACGAGGGCUCUGUAACUUUAACAAAUGCUCAGGAGACACCUGGCCAGAAGCUUGUGCAGCAGCUCUGGAGCCUGCCCUCCCUUGUCACCCGCAACACCAUGACUUCGGAGGGUCUCAGCUCAGUCCUCCCUCCAGAGGGACUGUCAGUGCUGGGCAGAAAAUCACCCCUCAACGACCGGGCCCAGCUGCCCUCCGUCGGAGAGCAGAGAAAGCAGGCCUCCAGGAGAUUCUCACUCCACCAAGGAGACAUCUCCACCCAGUGCUCAUCCUGAGCAAGGGCACUGGGAGGAAGAAACGCAAUUUUUAAAACUGUGCUGUGAACGAUGGCUUCUGCUGCUUCCAUUUCUAGAGAGCUCUGGGCACUUAACAUCCUUCCACCCACACGCCCGAGUCUGUGCAGAAACCUCACCCACGCAGAGGAGACUGCAUUUCCCAAUAGCAGAUUCAAGUCCUGAACUUCCUGUACCAUAAAGUGGUAUCCACACUGGUGAGUGCCAGCCUGAGACUCAACUAUCAAGAAAAACAUGAAGAAUUCAGUCCAUGCCCUCAACGCACUCAUUUGGCUCCCAAACGGCGAAUCUCAUCAAUGAGAUUCUCAGCUAGAAAAGUCCACACUGAACUCAUGCAGAGGCCUGGGGUUCUUGGUACCUGAGAUCUCUGAGCAGUUUUCUGAAUUUUCCGAUUUCCUGUUGAAGACAUGGGAACACGUGGCACACAGGCAUAGAGACCUGGAAACCAACAGGUGACCUCAAGGAGGUUUGUGAAGCUCCCUGAUGAGAAGACACUUGGGCAGAGGUGGCUGGCUAUCCCCCAAGUCCAUUUUCCCUCCUGGGACCAGAGCUGACUCCAUUUCUCAGUCUGCCUUGCAGUGAGCAUAGUCAGCUUCCUGGCACUGCUGGACCUGUCCCGGAGGCUCUUUUGGCCGGAAGUGGAUUGGCAGGGAUCUGAGAGCACCUGCUCUCAGGUGAGUCCUGCUUUACUCAUGUCAGAGAUUUAGACUAAAACAAACACAAAACGCAUCAAAGACCUAAGUGUAAUAGCUAAAAGUAUAAAACUCUUAUAAAAAAUAAGUGUAAAUUUUCAUGGUCUUAGAUUAGGUAGCACUGUCUUAGAUGUGCUAUCAGAAGCACAUACAACCACAGGAAAAAAAUACGUCAAUUGAAUUUCGUCAAAAUUUAAAACUUUUGUGCGUUAAAGUUCAUGAUCAAGAAAGUGAGAAGAAAACCCAGAGAAUGAGUGAAAUAUUUGCAAAUCAUACAUCUGGGACAAGUAUCCAGAAUAUGUAAAAAUUCUUAGAACUCAACAACAUAAAGAAAAAUAACCAAAUUAAACAGUAGGCAAAGGAUUCGAAGAGACCUUUGUCCAAAGAAGAUACACAAAUGACCAAUGAGUAUGUGAAAAGAUACUCAGCAGCUACUCACUAUGGAGAUACCACUUUCUACUCACACCGAUGGCUAUAAUAAAAAACAAACAGAAAUGACAAGUGCAGUGAAGAUGUGGAGAAACUGCAUUUCUCAUAGAUUGCUGACGGGAGAGUACCAUGGUGCAGCCAAUGUAGAAACAGUUUGGCAGUUCCUUAAAAAAUUAAACAGAGCUACCAUCUGA
Piliocolobus tephrosceles (Ugandan red Colobus) is the source of this 1851-nucleotide long non-coding RNA. RefSeq lists it as uncharacterized. The transcript has 2 exons. NCBI's taxonomy places the organism in Eukaryota, Metazoa, Chordata, Mammalia, Primates, Cercopithecidae. The record is from RefSeq and is a predicted model, not a curated record.